Molecule: transfer RNA, 71 nt
Filed under: Periplaneta americana (American cockroach)
Lineage: Eukaryota; Metazoa; Arthropoda; Insecta; Blattodea; Blattidae
Description: tRNA-Glu
Rfam family: tRNA
About the family: Transfer RNA (tRNA) molecules are approximately 80 nucleotides in length.
Source: RNAcentral
AUUUAUAUAGUUUAAAAACAUUUAAAAACACUACACUUUCACUGUAGAAAUAAAGGAAACUUUUAUAAAUA